Andrographis paniculata is the source of this 2115-nucleotide long non-coding RNA. RefSeq lists it as uncharacterized. The transcript has 3 exons. The record is from RefSeq and is a predicted model, not a curated record. NCBI's taxonomy places the organism in Eukaryota, Viridiplantae, Streptophyta, Magnoliopsida, Lamiales, Acanthaceae.
CGGGGUGUUGUUCUAACGAACGAUUAUUUUUCCCUAAUUAAGGGUUAGGGUUUCUAAGAAGCCAUUUCUCCUCGAGCAUUGCUGUCGAAGUUUCGAUCUGAUCUGCUUCCUCUCCUCCUCCAAGUGCAGGCAAGGAAGGAUUGAUUGCAGUUCCGGGACAGAUGAAGCCAAUGCAACGACCGGCUGCGUCGAAUCUCUUGUUGCUACUUUCUGCUAGAAUUCCUUUCGGCGAUGCCGGAAGGCUAUCCAUAAGAUUGAGUGGCUUUGAAUUCUUGCAGCUGCCGGGGUCGUUACUUUUGGCGUGCAAAGCUUCGCCUAAAGGCCCUCCCAUCGGCGACUCCCAAGAAAUCGGAACCCAGCUCGGCAUUGGCUUUAGUUUGUCGGCAAUGCCGACUUCCAAUCCCAUCUCGAGCUCCUGAGAUGAGGAAGCAGCGAAUUUUCGAUUCAUCGGAGACGACGCGGCGGCGGAGGGGACGUAGUCAGUUGUAGGGAUGGAAAUCGAGAGAUGAGUAGCUUUUUCCGGCCAGGCCGCGACGCCGGAGCGAUGUUCGCCCUGGAAUUUAGGCCAGUUGUCGAUGAACUGCCGUAGCUCCGACCGGUUUCCUUGGCUACCGAGCAAUGAUUCGUCAUAAACUAAUCCUAAUUCUGACUGGGAAUGGUGUUUGGAACCUAUCUUAUGGUGAUAAUGCUGAAGAUCAUAACCAGUCUGCAAGGUGUUGAAUUGAUGGUGGUUCGGCGGCGGCGGCGCCGCCGCCGCCGUCGAGGGAGGUGUUGUCGCCGGCGGCUUAGUGGUGGAGGAAUGGCCGGAUUGGCCUUCCACAGGCUUUCUUGAACGGUGGCGGCCUCUGUUCAUAUGUCGCUCACAGUACUUCUGAUCAGCCACCGCCUCCUUGGAGCACCGCCACUUCUUGCCGUCGGUGCGGCGGCACCGCCCCGGCUCAGGAUCAUUGCUGCAGUACCCCAAAUGCAGCCCAACUGCAAGAACUCAACACAGUCACUAAACAAAAGGUGUCCCCAAGACAAAGUUAAAAUUAUCAAAUCUCUUACAAGAAUUGGCAGUGAAGGCAGGUGGGAAAGCAGAGUAAGCAGCAGCAGCCUUUCUGAUGGGAUUCAAGAGAUAAUUAGGAAUCGGGACAUUAGAAGAGAUGUAUUUGUAGAUCAGUGCUUGGUGUUCAAGCUCCAUCCAUUGGGAAGGACUGAAGGGCCCUCUAGAUGUACAGCCAUAACCUGAGACAGAGACAUACCAUCGUCAACAAUGGAGGAGCUAGGUUAGUUACUAGGGUUUCAGUCCAAGAAAACAACAAAAGAAAAAUAUGCCCCAAUUAUAGAUUGGGUCAGUAUUCCCACAGAAACUUAACCGUUUUUGCCAAAGUAAGAAAAGCAUCAAGAACCCAUGAAAAAGGGAAGUGCUCACCAAAAACAGUUGCAGAAGGGGAAGAAGUUCUGGCCAAUUUGAAGUCUCUGAAAUCUUGAUUUUCAGUUCUGUGAGAUCCGAAGGUUGCAGGAUUUGGGCAUGGCAGAUUGUCGAAGCCCACAACGUUAAAAUCCAUGUAAGGAAGAAAGGGAGAUGUGAAAUGGGGGGUUGUGGGGGGUGGGGGGUGGAGGAGAGUCACUGCAUUUGAAGACAGAAGGGAAUUGGUCUUCUUGGAGGAAGCACUACUGCCAUUUCUUUUAAAGAUCUUUUCUUUUUUUUCUUUUGGCUGCAGUGCAGAGUGUGAUUUAUUAGUUUUGAUGUUUGUCCAGGGAAAAGCAUGGAGAGAGAAAGAGGAGGAGAGAGAAUGGAGAUGGGGGUGCUGUCUGAAAGAUUUUGUAUAUGGUGAACAUUUGAAGAAGAAGAAGAUGAGAUGAGAUCCACCGCUGCUAGAAGAGACUGUCACCAUCUUCACCAAUCAAUUAUAUAUUUGUUUGGGUUUUUUCACUCUAAUCUCUUGAUUUUUAUUUAUUCUUUUUGCUAUAAUUUCAAUUUAUUUUAAAUUUGGGCCGUAAUAUAGUUUUUUUUUUUUUCACUGUCUAAUUUGUGUAUAUUUGUAUUCAUUAGGUAAUAUUCAUUUAUACCCAAAGAGAGUGCUAUGUGGACAUCGGAAAUUGUUCAUCGUCUUAAUUAUUGUCGUUGAU